RNAcentral lists this ribosomal RNA (393 nucleotides) under uncultured bacterium. RNAcentral describes it as "partial 16S ribosomal RNA". It matches the Rfam family "Bacterial small subunit ribosomal RNA", at positions 523 to 918 of the family's 1533-position model. The record is from RNAcentral.
AUACGGAGGAUGCGAGCGUUAUCCGGAUUUAUUGGGUUUAAAGGGUGCGUAGGCUGUGCGUUAAGUCAGGGGUGAAAUGCCGUCGCUCAACGACGGAACUGCCCUUGAUACUGGCGUGCUGGAGUACGGAUGCCGUUGGAGGAAUGAGUGGUGUAGCGGUGAAAUGCUUAGAUAUCACUCAGAACACCGAUUGCGAAGGCAUCUGACGAAUCCGUCACUGACGCUGAGGCACGAAAGCGUGGGGAUAGAACAGGAUUAGAUACCCUGGUAUUCCACGCCGUAAACGAUGAUGACUAACCGUCGGCGAUAGACAGCCGGUGGCCAAGCGAAAGCGAUAAGUCAUCCACCUGGGGAGUACGUCGGCAACGAUGAAACUCAAAUGAAUUGGCGGGG